CUCAUAUCACACUUUCGGCUGAUAAUUGGCUCUGAUACCAUCUGUAACGCCCCGACUUCCCAGGGGGUCACCCAUCCUAGGACUACUCCCGUCCUAGCACGCUUAACUUUCUUAACCUCUUGGGUCUAGCCACCACCCAAAAUACUUAAGCCGGGUUAAGAGUUUAGCCCUAUUAUAUCUUAUAUAUAGGACUAUCUGGGGUCUCACAAAUUACAUAAAAUAUACUAACUAAAUAUAUAAAGCUAAGCAAUGCAUUCAAAAAUCAUUAAUAAUAAAUUUUAAUUUUAAUUUUAAUUUUAAUUUUAAAUUUAUUUUUUGUAUGUGGCCAAUAACACUCUAAAAUAAAAAGGGUUAGAAAAAGAAAAAAAAAAUCAAAAAAAAGAGAGAGAUAGGAGUGGGUCUAAAAUAAAUAAACCAGUUUAAAAUAAAUAAAAAGCUCAUUGUAAUAUUAAAAAAAUACAUAAUAUUUUUUAUUAUUAUCUGCGUAGAACUUACAAAUAAAAAAAAUAAAAAAAUAAAUUAAAGUAAAAAUACUAUCUUUGUUGAUUCUUAAAAUAAAUUAUUAUAUAUUUAUAAAUAAAAUAUUAAAAUUAUAUAUAUAUAUAUAUAUAUAUAUAUAUAUAUAUAUAUAUAGAGUUGAGCUAUGAUACUUUUACAAGUAUCACCAUCAUGGUGCUAUUAGGUUUUAAGCCAUUGGAUCUACUUUUUGAUUAUUAAUAGCCCUUGGAUCAAACAUUAUUCCACCUACCACCACCUACCACCAUCAUCUCAAUCUCACAUCUCUCCAUCCAAGGGCUAAAAACACACAAGUAUCACCCCCAUGAUACUUUUACAAGUAUUCUAGCCCUACUCUAUAUAUAUAUAUAAUUUCAAAGAGUGAGAGAGAGGUCUCAACCUCUCUCUCACUCUCAACCUCACAUCUUUCCAUCCAAGGGCUAAAAACACACAAGUAUCACCCCCAUGAUACUUUUACAAGUAUUCUAGCCCUACUCUAUAUAUAAAU
This 1003-nucleotide long non-coding RNA is filed under the name Ananas comosus (pineapple). RNAcentral's name for it is "long non-coding RNA (ACOM_LNC036508)". Lineage: Eukaryota; Viridiplantae; Streptophyta; Magnoliopsida; Poales; Bromeliaceae. The record is from RNAcentral.